This 335-nucleotide RNase P RNA is filed under the name chicken gut metagenome. RNAcentral's name for it is "Bacterial RNase P class B". It matches the Rfam family "Bacterial RNase P class B". Rfam says of the family: Ribonuclease P (RNase P) is a ubiquitous endoribonuclease, found in archaea, bacteria and eukarya as well as chloroplasts and mitochondria. Its best characterised activity is the generation of mature 5'-ends of tRNAs by cleaving the 5'-leader elements of precursor-tRNAs. The record is from RNAcentral.
UUUAGACAAGUGCUGGGAUUAAUUCCUAGAGGAAAGUCCAUGCUCACACAGUCUGCGAUGAUUGUAGUGUUCGUGCUUAAGGAAAAAAUAACUUAAGGUAGUGUUUAGACACUAACGGCUUAGCCUUUACCUAAGGUUUUUCUAUGGUAAAGGUUUGUAAAGUGCCACAGAGACGAGCAUCUAGGAAACUAGGUGUGUGAAACGCGGUAAACCCCACGAGUGAGAAACCCAAAUUAUGGUAGGGGAGCUUUAAGAAGAAAAAUGAAUUUUCUUAAGGACUAGAAAUAGUAGAUAAAUACUUGUCACCUAGAAAUAGGUACAGAACAUGGCUUAUU